CGGACGUAGGUAACCUGCCUGGUAGCGGGGGAUAACUAUUGGAAACGAUAGCUAAUACCGCAUAAGAGUAGAUGUUGCAUGACAUUUGCUUAAAAGGUGCAAUUGCAUCACUACCAGAUGGACCUGCGUUGUAUUAGCUAGUUGGUGGGGUAACGGCUCACCAAGGCGACGAUACAUAGCCGACCUGAGAGGGUGAUCGGCCACACCGGGACUGAGACACGGCCCAG
RNAcentral lists this ribosomal RNA (227 nucleotides) under uncultured bacterium. RNAcentral's name for it is "partial 16S ribosomal RNA". It matches the Rfam family "Bacterial small subunit ribosomal RNA", at positions 112 to 334 of the family's 1533-position model. The record is from RNAcentral.